UCGUGCUAGACGGGGAGCUAGCGGUGCCCUGUACCCGAAAUCCGCUUACGCGGGGUCGAACUCCCCCUCAGAGGGCCAGCGCUCCCUGGGAAUGCCAGAACUAAGUGGCGUAGAAGAUUGGGUCCUGCGCGGCAGGAGCUCGUGAACCCCGUCAGGUCCGAGAGGAAGCAGCGGUAAGCGGUCCCUCCUGGGUGCCGCAGGAGUGCCUGGUCGGAGCUGGCUGGUUCUGGUAAGCCAGCGGGUCCGGUUCGAAAGGGGGUGCACGG
RNAcentral lists this signal recognition particle RNA (266 nucleotides) under Anaerolineae bacterium. RNAcentral's name for it is "signal recognition particle sRNA large type". It matches the Rfam family "Bacterial large signal recognition particle RNA". From Rfam's summary of the family: The signal recognition particle (SRP) is a universally conserved ribonucleoprotein involved in the co-translational targeting of proteins to membranes. Archaeal SRP consists of a 7S RNA and homologues of the eukaryotic SRP19 and SRP54 proteins. In most bacteria, the SRP consists of a 4.5S RNA and the Ffh protein (a homologue of the eukaryotic SRP54 protein). Lineage: Bacteria; Bacillati; Chloroflexota; Anaerolineae. The record is from RNAcentral.